UCGCUUCAAGGGUGACAUCAAGUGAGUUAUUUUUGUAUAUAUUUAUUUUAAAGAAAUUUAAUAACUUAAUUCAUAAGACGUUAUUUGUUUCAAAAGAUAACAACUGAUAAAUAAUAUGACAAUGUAAAGGAUCAAGUAAAAAAUAUAUUUUAUAUUUUGUUGCUGGGCACGUGAGGUGCGUGCACGCGCAACAUGCAUAUAUGUAUAUAUGUAUAUGAAAGAAGUGCACCCAAGCAAUAGAAUACGUGAAGCAUUUAGUUAGUGAACACCGCAAGCUAUGCUAAGCGGUUUAACUAUAACAACCACACAAGUUAUUUGCAUGCCCCUCUUUGAAAUAUUUAAUAAGAUAUUGCAGUUAUUAGAGAUUUAAUUUUAUUCCUAUAAUUUGUGGAAUAAAUUAAUUCAGAGCAGAAUCAAUAAAGUGGUAAUAAAUAUUCUGGUAUUUAGAAAAAAUACAGAGGGAGAUAAAAAUAAAAUAAAAUAUGCUAAUAUUCACUUAUUUGUUAAUAUGUAUAUAUGUAUGUAUGUAUGUACCAAUACACAUUUACGUCACAGUAAGUGCAUUUCCACGUGCCUGCAUAAGCUUGUAGUAGCAAUUAUUAUAUUUUUAUAAUACCUGUAGUGUUAUUUUCAAUUUCCUAUUUAUAGUGUUCGGAUUUGCAAAGGCAUAGAGGAGGUCUGAAUUGUUGUUGGCAGUAUUUAAGUGCAGGAGACUUACAUUGCAUCAAUAUUUUUUUUAAGAAUUACCAGUAAACUAACCCAUCGUUAUUAAACUUAUACAAUUUUACUAAAGCUCUGCAGAUUCCAUCAGAACUCAUGCUGCAAUUAUUUAAUCCCAUAACUGGUAUUAUUGAUUAAAAUAAUAAACAAUAUAACCAAAAACAACAACGCAAAAUAUGUGCAAAAAGAGGCGGCAUUAUCGGUUAAUUAGGCUUUGUCUUUUGUUGCAGCACUAUUUAUUGUAAUAUAAGUAUUUAUGUGGGACAUGCAAAUAUCGUUCCUCUCUGUAUGUAAGUACAUACGCGUACGGUAUAAUAAACGUGCAUGGUUGGGAACAAACAAAGGCGGAUAAAACUUGGCGUCUUUUCUUUCAAGCAAUGCAAUGUGCAUGCGAAUAAAUAUCCGCGCUACACACACACACAAACAAAGCUGCGAUAAAAGAAUAUGUAAUCUGCAAGAUACGAAAGAUGAAAGUAAGUAAAAGUGAAUCACUCCCAUUAAAACUGUUCACUGCGAAUAAAAGCAUCUAUAAAAUGCAAGAGAGCGCCAUGUAUUCGUAUAUAAACGAUUAGUUCGUCGACAUGAGGAAUAAUGCACACAUGGCCGGCCUGAGACAAUUUACCACCGUAGGCAAAUGCCAAAUUCUGCGUCCCCCUCUAAGCCUAUUUUGCCUCAACAACAAAAUUUAUAACUUUUCGAAAUUAUACAGGUCAUUUUAAUAAUAAGAAAACACUCAUAUUCUAAAUGUUUAACACAACUAAUAAAAAAUUAUCAUACCAUAAUUAGUAGUACAAUAAAAAAGGUUAAUUAUUUGAA
Bactrocera oleae (olive fruit fly) is the source of this 1536-nucleotide non-coding RNA. NCBI's taxonomy places the organism in Eukaryota, Metazoa, Arthropoda, Insecta, Diptera, Tephritidae. The record is from RefSeq and is a predicted model, not a curated record.